Molecule: ribosomal RNA, 277 nt
Filed under: uncultured bacterium
Lineage: Bacteria
Description: partial 16S ribosomal RNA
Rfam family: Bacterial small subunit ribosomal RNA
Source: RNAcentral
UGCCUACGGGAGGCAGCAGUGGGGAAUAUUGCACAAUGGGGGAAACCCUGAUGCAGCAACGCCGCGUGAAGGAUGAAGUAUUUCGGUAUGUAAACUUCUAUCAGCAGGGAAGAAAAUGACGGUACCUGACUAAGAAGCCCCGGCUAACUACGUGCCAGCAGCCGCGGUAAUACGUAGGGGGCAAGCGUUAUCCGGAUUUACUGGGUGUAAAGGGAGCGUAGACGGCAUGGCAAGUCUGAUGUGAAAACCCGGGGCUCAACCCCGGGACUGCAUUGGA